This 445-nucleotide ribosomal RNA is filed under the name uncultured organism. RNAcentral describes it as "partial 16S ribosomal RNA". It matches the Rfam family "Bacterial small subunit ribosomal RNA", at positions 334 to 796 of the family's 1533-position model. The record is from RNAcentral.
CACUCCUACGGGAGGCAGCAGUGGGGAAUAUUGGACAAUGGGCGCAAGCCUGAUCCAGCCAUGCCGCGUGAGUGAUGAAGGCCCUAGGGUUGUAAAGCUCUUUCACCGGAGAAGAUAAUGACGGUAUCCGGAGAAGAAGCCCCGGCUAACUUCGUGCCAGCAGCCGCGGUAAUACGAAGGGGGCUAGCGUUGUUCGGAAUUACUGGGCGUAAAGCGCACGUAGGCGGAUCGAUCAGUCAGGGGUGAAAUCCCAGGGCUCAACCCUGGAACUGCCUUUGAUACUGUCGAUCUGGAGUAUGGAAGAGGUGAGUGGAAUUCCGAGUGUAGAGGUGAAAUUCGUAGAUAUUCGGAGGAACACCAGUGGCGAAGGCGGCUCACUGGUCCAUUACUGACGCUGAGGUGCGAAAGCGUGGGGAGCAAACAGGAUUAGAUACCCUUGUAGUCC